Molecule: long non-coding RNA, 1728 nt
Organism: Gadus macrocephalus (Pacific cod)
Lineage: Eukaryota; Metazoa; Chordata; Actinopteri; Gadiformes; Gadidae
Exons: 2
Source: RefSeq, a predicted model, not a curated record
GACCUUUGGAGGCGAUUAGCACUAAAACAACUAUUCAGCUAAAGAGGGGAUAAGUGGACAUAGUUGCCUGCCUUUGGUAUGAUGAAAAUAGAGAUCUAUUUCAAAUAGGGCUGAUAAUUGCACCCACGGGAAGAAAUUAUUUAAUUUUGACCCGGACCUUUGCACCGUUUCUGCACUGACAGAAACGGUUCAAAGUUAUGAUGAAUAGACAGAGAUUCUACUUCAAAUAGGGCUGAUGAUUGCACCCACGGGAAAACCAAGUAGGAUGAAUUGAGUGGCGUCAUGUUGUUUGAACCUGAAUGAAAUGUACAUAAAAUAGAGGAGCCUCCCAACCUAAAGACACCAACGACGGCGAAAAAUUUGAUUUAACCACUGUUCAACUUUUCUUGUCAUGUUACUAAACUUAUUUUUUUUCAGAAAAGUGGACGAGUGGUAAAACUAAAUAUAAUAGAAAAAUAACGUCCGGCCUUUACGGACGCAAACAGUGCCAGCAGGUAAGUAUGGCACUGAAACAACUGAGGGAAUAGGCCCCCCUCGUUUGUGAAAAGAAAAAAUAUAUAAAGAACAUCGUUGUGUCUCAUCCCAAUUGUUAUAUUAUGUAUUUUUCGCGCCGUAUUUCUAUCCUUUCUUUCCAUGCUUUGCUUUCAUGUUGUCUACAACCUCUUGUAGACCCUUCUUCUUUCCACAGCGCUGGAGAAGCAGUUUUACGCCGUCCCGAAAUUCUAAAUGUAUUUGAAUGCGAUUGUAAUAGAUUUACUGCGGAGUUGUAUUAAUAUGAUCUGAGAGAUCGUAUAGAUUUUUUUUCAGAUAAAUAACAAUGUCCAAGGAACGAAUGCCCGAAAAACGUAGCAGUUCAGGACACUGAUCGAGAGCCAGAGGACAAUUCAACUCCACAAAAGUUUAUUCUUCAAACAGGUUUGAUUGAUAAACCACGAGUGAGUACCCUGAAACUAACAUAGAAAUAAAUAAAUCGGGCUCCUUUGAGACAUUGACUUUAUUCUGAUUUACAAAUUUGUACAAAAUAUAUUAAUAUCAUUCAGUUAGAUAACAUUUCUUUGUUUCUUUAUCAAACAGAUCUGUGGUCUCCAUUUACGUUGAGUUCCACAUGUUUUAAAAUUAUUAAAUAACAUUAACAUAGCCUACUUUUAGCAUUAAAGAAUUCAUGACGUAAAACUAUAACAAAAGUGAUUGUAUUUUGUUUCGUAUCCCUAUCUGUUGUAUCAGCUGUGUGUGUAUUCCUUUAUUUGUAUUAAUUUGUUUGUGUUUUCUUUCCAAAAGAACGUCUGAAUCCCACAAUCAUAAAGAGUAAAAUGGACGCCCAUUCAUCAAAACGGGACGAUAAGGUGACAAUAACGGUAUCUAAGCAAAUUAAAAAAAGAGCGGACCUGGUAAGAACCCGCUAUGGUAAAAAAAAUAACGAUCCUAUAGUGCCACCAAGAUCCCCCGCAGAUAUAGUCUUGAGAGAAGAAGGCUUAUACUCGGUCUUUCCAUUUACUUAUGAUGUGUACGAAUGGACAGAUGGCUGUUGGCCAAUAGGUGGUUCUUUUGAUUCUUGCAAACUACAAGAAUUAAAAGAAACAAUAACGUCUGGACCAGAUCCGAAUUGGGAUUUUAAUUACACACAGAAUUGUUUAGAUGCAUGGAUUCGCACGGCAAAACGACACCCAAUACCGAAACCAGUUAAACAAGAAGUAACUCCAGAAAUCGCGUCUAACAUUUUCAAAAUAA